Molecule: small RNA, 82 nt
Filed under: uncultured Haliea sp.
Lineage: Bacteria; Pseudomonadati; Pseudomonadota; Gammaproteobacteria; Cellvibrionales; Halieaceae
Description: t44 RNA
Rfam family: t44 RNA
About the family: This family consists of a number of bacterial RNA genes of between 135 and 170 bases in length. The t44 gene is found between the map and rpsB genes in all species in the full alignment apart from Shigella flexneri.
Source: RNAcentral
CCUAACGUCGCACACAUAUCGACACCUGCGUCAGGGUGCCGGCUCCGGCCGGUUUGGCGCAAGGGAUAUGUGGAGGCCUAAC